GACGAACGCUGGCGGCGUGGAUUAGGCAUGCAAGUCGAACGGUAGGAUACCUUCGGGUAUCUGAGAGUGGCGAACGGGUGAGUAACACGUAGGUGAUCUACCCUCAAGAUUGGGACAACCCGGGAAACUUGGGCUAAUACCGGAUGAAAGCAGCAGUGAUGUUGUUUGAAAGGUGGCGUAAGCUGCCGUUUGGGGAUGAGCCUGCGCUCUAUUAGUUAGUUGGCGGGGUAAAGGCCCACCAAGGCGAUGAUAGAUAGGCGGCCUUAACGGGUGGUCGCCCACACUGGGAUUGAGAUACGGCCCAGACUCCUACGGGAGGCAGCAGUCGAGAAUAGUCUACAAUGGCCGAAAGGCUGAUAGUGCGACGCCGCGUGAACGAAGAAGCCCUUCGGGGUGUAAAGUUCUUUUAUAUGUGAGCAGUGCUUUCUAUGUGAACAGCAUGGGGAGAGAGAUAUUAGCAUAUGAAUAAGCAACGGCUAACUCCGUG
RNAcentral lists this ribosomal RNA (487 nucleotides) under uncultured bacterium. Its description in RNAcentral is "bacterial SSU rRNA". It matches the Rfam family "Bacterial small subunit ribosomal RNA", at positions 28 to 507 of the family's 1533-position model. The record is from RNAcentral.